Molecule: ribosomal RNA, 465 nt
Filed under: Vreelandella stevensii
Lineage: Bacteria; Pseudomonadati; Pseudomonadota; Gammaproteobacteria; Oceanospirillales; Halomonadaceae
Description: partial 16S ribosomal RNA
Rfam family: Bacterial small subunit ribosomal RNA
Source: RNAcentral
CCUACGGGAGGCAGCAGUGGGGAAUAUUGGACAAUGGGGGCAACCCUGAUCCAGCCAUGCCGCGUGUGUGAAGAAGGCCCUCGGGUUGUAAAGCACUUUCAGUGAGGAAGAACGCCUGGUGGUUAAUACCCAUCAGGAAAGACAUCACUCACAGAAGAAGCACCGGCUAACUCCGUGCCAGCAGCCGCGGUAAUACGGAGGGUGCGAGCGUUAAUCGGAAUUACUGGGCGUAAAGCGCGCGUAGGUGGCUUGAUAAGCCGGUUGUGAAAGCCCCGCGCUCAACCUGGGAACGGCAUCCGGAACUGUCAAGCUAGAGUGCAGGAGAGGAAGGUAGAAUUCCCGGUGUAGCGGUGAAAUGCGUAGAGAUCGGGAGGAAUACCAGUGGCGAAGGCGGCCUUCUGGACUGACACUGACACUGAGGUGCGAAAGCGUGGGUAGCAAACAGGAUUAGAUACCCCUGUAGUC